This 728-nucleotide ribosomal RNA is filed under the name Bacillus sp. (in: firmicutes). RNAcentral describes it as "bacterial SSU rRNA". It matches the Rfam family "Bacterial small subunit ribosomal RNA", at positions 56 to 766 of the family's 1533-position model. RNAcentral also lists the same sequence under 1 other name. The record is from RNAcentral. Lineage: Bacteria; Bacillati; Bacillota; Bacilli; Caryophanales; Bacillaceae.
UGCAGUCGAGCGAUGGAUUAAGAGCUUGCUCUUAUGAAGUUAGCGGCGGACGGGUGAGUAACACGUGGGUAACCUGCCCAUAAGACUGGGAUAACUCCGGGAAACCGGGGCUAAUACCGGAUAACAUUUUGAACCGCAUGGUUCGAAAUUGAAAGGCGGCUUCGGCUGUCACUUAUGGAUGGACCCGCGUCGCAUUAGCUAGUUGGUGAGGUAACGGCUCACCAAGGCAACGAUGCGUAGCCGACCUGAGAGGGUGAUCGGCCACACUGGGACUGAGACACGGCCCAGACUCCUACGGGAGGCAGCAGUAGGGAAUCUUCCGCAAUGGACGAAAGUCUGACGGAGCAACGCCGCGUGAGUGAUGAAGGCUUUCGGGUCGUAAAACUCUGUUGUUAGGGAAGAACAAGUGCUAGUUGAAUAAGCUGGCACCUUGACGGUACCUAACCAGAAAGCCACGGCUAACUACGUGCCAGCAGCCGCGGUAAUACGUAGGUGGCAAGCGUUAUCCGGAAUUAUUGGGCGUAAAGCGCGCGCAGGUGGUUUCUUAAGUCUGAUGUGAAAGCCCACGGCUCAACCGUGGAGGGUCAUUGGAAACUGGGAGACUUGAGUGCAGAAGAGGAAAGUGGAAUUCCAUGUGUAGCGGUGAAAUGCGUAGAGAUAUGGAGGAACACCAGUGGCGAAGGCGACUUUCUGGUCUGUAACUGACACUGAGGCGCGAAAGCGUGGGG